RNAcentral lists this transfer RNA (68 nucleotides) under Tylonycteris robustula (Greater bamboo bat). RNAcentral's name for it is "tRNA-Val". Lineage: Eukaryota; Metazoa; Chordata; Mammalia; Chiroptera; Vespertilionidae. The record is from RNAcentral. RNAcentral also lists the same sequence under 1 other name.
CAAAGUGUAGCUUAAAUCAAAGCAUCCGGCCUACACCCAGAAAAUUUCAAUUAAUUUGAACACUUUGA